GGGGGAGGUAGCCAAGGGGAUCAG
This 24-nucleotide transfer RNA is filed under the name Salvia guaranitica. Its description in RNAcentral is "partial tRNA-His". The record is from RNAcentral. Lineage: Eukaryota; Viridiplantae; Streptophyta; Magnoliopsida; Lamiales; Lamiaceae.